GAUGAAGAACGCAGCGAAAUGCGAUAAGUAAUGUGAAUUGCAGAAUUCAGUGAAUCAUCGAAUCUUUGAACGCACAUUGCGCCCGCCAGUAUUCUGGCGGGCAUGCCUGUUCGAGCGUCAUUUCAACCAUCAAGCCCCAGGCUUGUGUUGGGGACCUGCGGCUGCCGCAGGCCCUGAAAACCAGUGGCGGGCUCGCUGUCACUCCGGGCGUAGUAGAUUUUAUCUCGCUCAGGGCGUGCUGCGGGUUCCGGCCGUUAAAAAGCCUUUUUUACCCAAGGUUGACCUCGGAUCAGGUAGGAAGACCCGCUGAACUUAAGCAUAUCAAUAAGCGGAGGA
Molecule: unclassified non-coding RNA, 336 nt
Filed under: soil metagenome
Description: partial contains 5.8S ribosomal RNA, internal transcribed spacer 2, and large subunit ribosomal RNA
Rfam family: 5.8S ribosomal RNA (bases 1-120)
Source: RNAcentral